UAAAUAAGAAGCAAAAUUUGCAUUUAAUUUCGACUUAAAAGAUGAGUUUAAUAAAC
This 56-nucleotide transfer RNA is filed under the name Promalactis odaiensis. RNAcentral describes it as "tRNA-Arg". The record is from RNAcentral. Lineage: Eukaryota; Metazoa; Arthropoda; Insecta; Lepidoptera; Oecophoridae.